Molecule: long non-coding RNA, 4274 nt
Filed under: Callithrix jacchus (white-tufted-ear marmoset)
Lineage: Eukaryota; Metazoa; Chordata; Mammalia; Primates; Cebidae
Description: lncRNA (ENSCJAG00000077610.1)
Source: RNAcentral
CUUUCUCAUGGCUAAUUUGAGAUUCUGGUUAUUUAAGGAGCCAGAGAUGGAAGCCAGAUGACUCAGCUCCGGAUUGGGGAGGGAUUUCCUUAGAAGACCUCUCAGUUUGUGGGAGCGCAGACCAACGUGAGCGUGUACAGUGCGUGCUCGUCAAGCCUGGCUACCCUGAGGCUCGUCAUGCCUCCCACUCUGAGCUGCUCGCUCAACACCUCAUCUUCCUUCCCACCGCGGCCCUUGCUCAGUAAAACCAGCAGAAGCCACAGUUGACGGCAUCUGGUCAGGGAGGGAGGGAUCUGAGCAGCUGUGGCUGGUGUCCACUGUGACUGCAGCAUGGUUUUCUGGCCACGCCUGCGGAGCGUGGCAGGGUCGGGCCCCAUCCUUGUGCUUGUAACCUGAAGUCAGACCUCGCUGCUGUUGGGACUCUUCUUAAGAUGGGCUUUUCAACCCUGCGGCAGCUGCCAUUUCCGGCGCUGCGGGUCCCACACUGGCCGGUCCCUCCACAUCAUGCCUCCUCCUGGAUCUUUGAGAGGCUGGGGAUACCCAUGACAGUCACCUGCUGUGGUUGGGAGGUGCAUUCUCGGGGGCAGUCCUGAGGGUUGGCCUGAAGACGUGGGGGCUCAGAGCUGUGAGGUCCCUGCCAGCAUGGUCCCUCCAUGUGUUCCCUGGUGCCAGCGGACUGCUCCUCACUUUGAAUGUUUCAGCACACAGAGCGUUCACGUAAUGAAACAACCCGAGGGCUUCAUCAUAUUAAGAUCAAAUUCUACGACAGAAGCAUUUGAAUUGGGCUUGCUGCAUGCCAGGUGCUGCUGUAGGUACUCUACCUGCAUCUUCUCAUUUGAUCCUCAGCAACCGUGGGGGGCUGCACUCAUGGGCGAGCAGGUCUCUGUGCGAAGACGCAGCCAUGCAGUGGGGGUCCCACGCCAGCUCCAGCCUGCCCCUGCCACACCUGCAGGCACAUUCAAGCCACAGGCCCGCUGCCCCUUGCAUGCAGAGGGUGGCUGGUCUCCCCGAAGUCAGCUCUUGUGCUCUCUCUGGCCCCACCAUGGGGCAUCAUCUCACACAACACCCAGAGUAAGGGCCCAGCAUUUAAAGAGAUGAGUGUGAAAAGCACGUCCACAGUCAGAGUCCCGUGUACUCUCGCGUCGUUCCCAAGGCUACAAAGAGAAAAACCAACAGCAACAGAACAGUAACGACAAGCUGCAAACCAAAGGCAUAGGCAGCACACAAAGGGUUAACAUCUUGCCCGGUUUAAGAGCCAGAGAUUAACAUCACGAAGAAAACUGCGAAUUACAAAAGAUAACAAGGUGCCAUGUUUCAUUAUCGGGGACCAGCGAACACCGAAAAGAAAGCUAUGCCCGGGGUGGGGGCUGCUGGAGGACACAGGGCGGUCACUGCUUCCUGCGGGAUGCUCUAGCCAGGCCCAUCCUGCAGGGGGAUUUAAAUUUAAACAUGUGUGCAACAUCUUCAAAUGUAUCCUGCGGAGACACCAGAUCACAGCCUUUUUAUAAUAGCUCAGAUCUGGACAACCCGAAUGGCCAGCGCCAGCCUCACCCAGUGCCGUUCUCAUCCAACCACGGCAUUCUACACGAGUGUUGCAACCAUCCGGCUCUUCAUUUAGGACCUUAAGACCUGCUAAUGAUAUAAUCGUUAUGUGAAAAGACGUGCACAGGGCCUUGCGGGUCACAAGGUCACAGCACGAAGUGCAUGUGUAGUUUCGUUCGUCCGCAGAGGUACAGGCGUGAGUCAUCACCUGGGCGAUGGGGUUACAAGUGGCUUUUUCUCCUUUUUGCUUAUUUUUCUUGUUUAUAUUUUUCUGCGAUGAAUACGAGUAACAUAUAGCAAAGUGUAAAACAGUUUUCCCACAGCGUGAGCAGAGUCUCCGUGCCAUUUCCCAGACCUCCGCCCACUGGGAGCUCGGUCUGCAUCCUGGCUCCUGCCCUGUCCCCUGCCCGAGCUCUGCUGAAGAGCGAAGCAAAAUGUCCCCGAGGAAGGGGCCUCACCAGCUCCCGCACUGGAGGAGCCUCUGAGCGCAAUGGACUGGAGUCUGACCGAGCUGGUCACACAAGCCCCCGCUGACCACCUGCCAUGGGCUGGGACAUCUUGGAGUCUGACCGAGCUGGUCACACAAGCCCCUGCUGACCACCUGCCAUGGGCUGGGACAUCUUGGGGACGGAAUGUUCUGGAACCACAGCAGUAGGUCAGACGGGAACUCUGGCACAGACGCCCCCUCUCUGAAUUCUUGUCCAGAUCCCAAUAUGGAUACAAAACAUGGCAAGUAUGAGCUGAGGCUUAGCAAAGCCGCAUAAAUCCAUCGCUGCUGCGAAAACAACUCGAAUGACAUGGUGUUGGGAACAAGAGCCAUGCAGAAUUCUGCGCCUGGGAACGACAUUGCUACAGCAGUCCUGCUUGCACAACAGAGGCGAGUAUCAUGAGGUGGACGGGAAAGCCUGAAGUCUUAGCGGAAUUUCAGGAGAAGGAAUGAAAGGACGUCCUGUAACUUAGUGAGCGUGUUAGGCCACGGCCGCAACAGACAGACACGCACGUGUGUCACGGCCCGAGUGGAAGAGCGGCGUGUUUGUUAUUGGUGAGAGCAGGACAAACAGGGCCUGACUGGAGCGGGGCUUGGGGACCGGGAGGUUUGGGUGGGGGGAGUCUCUCCCUAGGUGGCACUCAGGGGCCCAGCUGAGGAAGGCUUCCCUGUCUUCCUUCACAGGUGACUUUGGGGUCCCUGGAGCUGCUUCCCUGGCCAAGCUGCGGAGAGGCUGUGAGCCCCUUUGGAAGCCAGGGGGCGUCCCUCCUGCUCACGGCCCGAUGGCUGCAGCCCAGCCCAAGCCCACCCAGCUACAGGGGAGCCCGGAUGGGUCCAGGUGUGCCCAGGAACAAGGGAAGGGACAAGAGUUCAAAGCAGACAGCAGCAUCCACCUGCACUCAUAGUUAACAGUUGACUAUUUUGACACUUGAGAAUGUUUUCUAGAAUAAAAAGGAGUAAGAAAAGGUUGAAUUUGGCAAAGACAUAGGUAUAAAUUCAUGAGAGGACACGGCAGGUCACUUCCACUGCCUUAGAAAUCUGGAAAUGAGGAAAUUCCAAGACCCAUGAGUCUGGCAUUUAUCAACGAUUUUUUCUUUCCAUGACAAAUGUAGAGGUAUAAUUAUUUUGUGAGCACACAGAAAACCAUAACAAUUUUAGACUCGCAAAUUACUAAAAAGUACUGAUCUACGUGGUUCUUUUCAACCAAAAUUAAUGUAAAUAACAUAAAAAUGUUGAAUUAAAGAUUUAUUUUCCAAAAAGGACUUUUGUAGCAGACAUUGUGUAUCUUUGGUGACUUUUAAUUUUUUAAACAAAAUUUCCUCGUUUUCUUCCAAUGUGUUUUUUCCAUUUUUUAAAAUUUUUUGAUCCUCAUACAACUUGCUCUGACCACACUUAUUUUUCUAAAUUCUUUUGUAAUCAAAUGCUGUGUUUUCAUUUUGUACACAAACAAUGUGAGCCUUACCUUGACCAAGAAGCCUAUAGACGAAUGUCCAACGAAUGUCCACCAGAUGGGCUGGUGUCUGGCACUCCCUGCCCAGUUGGUACUUCCUAGAAACGGACUGGGUGGGGGCGAGGUAGGGGAACCAUCUGCCUCACGGUCCUUAGCAUCUAGAAAAGGAGGCGAUUCAAAGGCAGAGGGAAGUAUCCUUCUUAUCGGAGUUGCUUUCAAGUCGAAGGACUUUAGAUGGGAAAUUCCAAUCAGCAGAAGGUAAAUCUAGCUUGUAAGCAUAAUCAUUGCUUUAUUAGUUGAUAAUGCUUUUUAAUCAAUACAUGUUUAGCAUGGAAAACCCAAAAUCAGUUUUUAAACUGCAGCUAUUGACUAUGGAAUUUCCCUUGCAAAUGACUUCUCACCAAAUGAAUAUAUCAUCUAGAGAUGGGACUCUAUUUUAGGGGGUUACUUUCUUUAGAUAGUGGAAUGCCUGGAGACCACAACCAGAUCUGAGAACGUCGUAUCUUGGUUUUAGUGGAGCAGACAGCCAAUUUCUCAGACUUAGGGCUUAAAAAAUGUUGAAAUGUACUCCACAGAAAAAUCUCAAAAGUUAACCAUUCAAACUCACAUUGGCCUAAGAAACAUUUUUAGACAUAAAAGCAACUCUAAAAUUCUGCUUUAUAGGGCUCUUCUGAGAAUACGAUUAUGCAAUCACUAAGUGGAAGUGGCUCUUUGCUAUGGUUUCUGGCUGCCCUGUCUCACCACUGUAGCUUUUGGAUACAAAAUGAGAAUGGCCAGCCUGGAAGGAGUGAUGGC